GGGCAGGUAGCUCAGUCGGUAGAGCACUGGUCUGAAAAACCAGGGGUCGGCAGUUCGAUUCUGCCCCUGCCCA
RNAcentral lists this transfer RNA (73 nucleotides) under Acidimicrobiia bacterium. RNAcentral describes it as "tRNA-Phe". It matches the Rfam family "tRNA". Rfam says of the family: Transfer RNA (tRNA) molecules are approximately 80 nucleotides in length. Their secondary structure includes four short double-helical elements and three loops (D, anti-codon, and T loops). The record is from RNAcentral. Lineage: Bacteria; Bacillati; Actinomycetota; Acidimicrobiia.